CGUGUAGGCGGCCAAGCAAGUCAGAGGUGAAAGCCCCUGGGCUCAACCUGGGAACUGCCUUUGAAACUGUUUGGCUUGAGACCGGAAGAGGAUGGCGGAAUUCCCCAGUGUAGAGGUGAAAUUCGUAGAUAUUGGGAAGAACACCGGUGGCGAAGGCGGCCAUCUGGUCCGGUUCUGACGCUGAGGCGUGAAAGCGUGGGGAGCAAACA
Molecule: ribosomal RNA, 209 nt
Filed under: uncultured bacterium
Lineage: Bacteria
Description: partial 16S ribosomal RNA
Rfam family: Bacterial small subunit ribosomal RNA
Source: RNAcentral